AGCACUGAAUCCCGUCGUUGUCACGGCGGCGGGAGAUGUGGUGUUCGGGAGGUUCCGCUUUCUCGUCGUUGUCUUCUCCUGUCCAAGUUCGUCUUGAACGGGGCCGUUUUCCCGUAGAGGGUGCCAGGCCCGUAGCGACGGAGGACGGCGGCGAGAGGGACUCUCCUCAGAGUCGGGUUGCUUGAGAGUGCAGCCCUAAGUGGGUGGUAAACUCCAUCUAAGGCUAAAUAUUACCGCGAGACCGAUAGCGAACAAGUACCGU
RNAcentral lists this ribosomal RNA (262 nucleotides) under Plagodis dolabraria. RNAcentral describes it as "partial 28S ribosomal RNA". It matches the Rfam family "Eukaryotic large subunit ribosomal RNA", at positions 111 to 354 of the family's 3401-position model. Lineage: Eukaryota; Metazoa; Arthropoda; Insecta; Lepidoptera; Geometridae. The record is from RNAcentral.